CCUACGGGAGGCAGCAGUGGGGAAUAUUGCACAAUGGGGGAAACCCUGAUGCAGCGACGCCGCGUGAGUGAAGAAGUAUUUCGGUACGUAAACCUCUAUCAGCAGGGAAGAAAAUGACGGUAACUGACUAAGAAGCCCCGGCUAACUACGUGCCAGCAGCGGCGGUAAUACGUAGGGGUCAAGCGUUUUACGGAUUUACUGGUUGUAAAGGGAGCGUAGACGGCAGCGGAAGGCUGGAGUGAAAUACAAUGGCUUAACCAUGGAACUGCGUUUGAAACUGUGCAGCUCGAGUGCAGGAGAGGGAAGCGGAAUUCCUAGUGUAGCGGUGAAAUGCGUAGAUAUUAGGAGGAACACCAGUGGCGAAGGCGGCUUACUGGACUGCAACUGACGUUGAGGCUCGAAAGCGUGGGGAGCAAACAGGAGUAGAUACCCUUGUAGUC
Molecule: ribosomal RNA, 440 nt
Filed under: uncultured bacterium
Lineage: Bacteria
Description: partial 16S ribosomal RNA
Rfam family: Bacterial small subunit ribosomal RNA
Source: RNAcentral